CUGCUACAGAGGUGUUGGCAAUCCAGGGGAUUGCCAAAGGGGUGUGGUGGAGCCAAUAAAAGGGCAGAGUUGCUUUGUGCUUGCACACUGCACUCUGACGAGGGGACGCCGCAAUGUGCUACAGGUUCCAGGCCCAGUCAGUGGGGCACCUGAAACCUGGUGAUGGACCUGUGGCACCAGGGUCCCCUCUCCACCGCACCCAGAGAGCAUGUGAUUUGGCAGGAUAGACGGGUCAGACCGUGAGCCCCUGCUGCUUUGCCUGGUUUGUCUACUUUGCCUGUUUUUUUUAUCUUCUUGUUGGUUUCUGCUCCUGUGCGGUGCGGCCAAACUGAAG
Molecule: long non-coding RNA, 334 nt
Organism: Oryzias melastigma (Indian medaka)
Lineage: Eukaryota; Metazoa; Chordata; Actinopteri; Beloniformes; Adrianichthyidae
Exons: 2
Source: RefSeq, a predicted model, not a curated record